GGGUUGUGAGGUUAAGCGACUAAGCGUACACGGUGGAUGCCCUGGCAGUCAGAGGCGAUGAAGGACGUGCUAAUCUGCGAUAAGCGUCGGUAAGGUGAUAUGAACCGUUAUAACCGGCGAUUUCCGAAUGGGGAAACCCAGUGUGAUUCGUCACACUAUCAUUAACUGAAUCCAUAGGUUAAUGAGGCGAACCGGGGGAACUGAAACAUCUAAGUACCCCGAGGAAAAGAAAUCAACCGAGAUUCCCCCAGUAGCGGCGAGCGAACGGGGAGCAGCCCAGAGCCUGAAUCAGUGUGUGUGUUAGUGGAAGCGUCUGGAAAGGCGCGCGAUACAGGGUGACAGCCCCGUACACAAAAAUGCACAUGCUGUGAGCUCGAUGAGUAGGGCGGGACACGUGGUAUCCUGUCUGAAUAUGGGGGGACCAUCCUCCAAGGCUAAAUACUCCUGACUGACCGAUAGUGAACCAGUACCGUGAGGGAAAGGCGAAAAGAACCCCGGCGAGGGGAGUGAAAAAGAACCUGAAACCGUGUACGUACAAGCAGUGGGAGCACGCUUAGGCGUGUGACUGCGUACCUUUUGUAUAAUGGGUCAGCGACUUAUAUUCUGUAGCAAGGUUAACCGAAUAGGGGAGCCGAAGGGAAACCGAGUCUUAACUGGGCGUUAAGUUGCAGGGUAUAGACCCGAAACCCGGUGAUCUAGCCAUGGGCAGGUUGAAGGUUGGGUAACACUAACUGGAGGACCGAACCGACUAAUGUUGAAAAAUUAGCGGAUGACUUGUGGCUGGGGGUGAAAGGCCAAUCAAACCGGGAGAUAGCUGGUUCUCCCCGAAAGCUAUUUAGGUAGCGCCUCGUGAAUUCAUCUCCGGGGGUAGAGCACUGUUUCGGCAAGGGGGUCAUCCCGACUUACCAACCCGAUGCAAACUGCGAAUACCGGAGAAUGUUAUCACGGGAGACACACGGCGGGUGCUAACGUCCGUCGUGAAGAGGGAAACAACCCAGACCGCCAGCUAAGGUCCCAAAGUCAUGGUUAAGUGGGAAACGAUGUGGGAAGGCCCAGACAGCCAGGAUGUUGGCUUAGAAGCAGCCAUCAUUUAAAGAAAGCGUAAUAGCUCACUGGUCGAGUCGGCCUGCGCGGAAGAUGUAACGGGGCUAAACCAUGCACCGAAGCUGCGGCAGCGACGCUUAUGCGUUGUUGGGUAGGGGAGCGUUCUGUAAGCCUGCGAAGGUGUGCUGUGAGGCAUGCUGGAGGUAUCAGAAGUGCGAAUGCUGACAUAAGUAACGAUAAAGCGGGUGAAAAGCCCGCUCGCCGGAAGACCAAGGGUUCCUGUCCAACGUUAAUCGGGGCAGGGUGAGUCGACCCCUAAGGCGAGGCCGAAAGGCGUAGUCGAUGGGAAACAGGUUAAUAUUCCUGUACUUGGUGUUACUGCGAAGGGGGGACGGAGAAGGCUAUGUUGGCCGGGCGACGGUUGUCCCGGUUUAAGCGUGUAGGCUGGUUUUCCAGGCAAAUCCGGAAAAUCAAGGCUGAGGCGUGAUGACGAGGCACUACGGUGCUGAAGCAACAAAUGCCCUGCUUCCAGGAAAAGCCUCUAAGCAUCAGGUAACAUCAAAUCGUACCCCAAACCGACACAGGUGGUCAGGUAGAGAAUACCAAGGCGCUUGAGAGAACUCGGGUGAAGGAACUAGGCAAAAUGGUGCCGUAACUUCGGGAGAAGGCACGCUGAUAUGUAGGUGAAGUCCCUCGCGGAUGGAGCUGAAAUCAGUCGAAGAUACCAGCUGGCUGCAACUGUUUAUUAAAAACACAGCACUGUGCAAACACGAAAGUGGACGUAUACGGUGUGACGCCUGCCCGGUGCCGGAAGGUUAAUUGAUGGGGUCAGCGCAAGCGAAGCUCUUGAUCGAAGCCCCGGUAAACGGCGGCCGUAACUAUAACGGUCCUAAGGUAGCGAAAUUCCUUGUCGGGUAAGUUCCGACCUGCACGAAUGGCGUAAUGAUGGCCAGGCUGUCUCCACCCGAGACUCAGUGAAAUUGAACUCGCUGUGAAGAUGCAGUGUACCCGCGGCAAGACGGAAAGACCCCGUGAACCUUUACUAUAGCUUGACACUGAACAUUGAGCCUUGAUGUGUAGGAUAGGUGGGAGGCUUUGAAGUGUGGACGCCAGUCUGCAUGGAGCCGACCUUGAAAUACCACCCUUUAAUGUUUGAUGUUCUAACGUUGACCCGUAAUCCGGGUUGCGGACAGUGUCUGGUGGGUAGUUUGACUGGGGCGGUCUCCUCCUAAAGAGUAACGGAGGAGCACGAAGGUUGGCUAAUCCUGGUCGGACAUCAGGAGGUUAGUGCAAUGGCAUAAGCCAGCUUGACUGCGAGCGUGACGGCGCGAGCAGGUGCGAAAGCAGGUCAUAGUGAUCCGGUGGUUCUGAAUGGAAGGGCCAUCGCUCAACGGAUAAAAGGUACUCCGGGGAUAACAGGCUGAUACCGCCCAAGAGUUCAUAUCGACGGCGGUGUUUGGCACCUCGAUGUCGGCUCAUCACAUCCUGGGGCUGAAGUAGGUCCCAAGGGUAUGGCUGUUCGCCAUUUAAAGUGGUACGCGAGCUGGGUUUAGAACGUCGUGAGACAGUUCGGUCCCUAUCUGCCGUGGGCGCUGGAGAACUGAGGGGGGCUGCUCCUAGUACGAGAGGACCGGAGUGGACGCAUCACUGGUGUUCGGGUUGUCAUGCCAAUGGCACUGCCCGGUAGCUAAAUGCGGAAGAGAUAAGUGCUGAAAGCAUCUAAGCACGAAACUUGCCCCGAGAUGAGUUCUCCCUGACUCCUUGAGAGUCCUGAAGGAACGUUGAAGACGACGACGUUGAUAGGCCGGGUGUGUAAGCGCAGCGAUGCGUUGAGCUAACCGGUACUAAUGAACCGUGAGGCUUAACCUUACAACGCCGAAGGUGUUU
RNAcentral lists this ribosomal RNA (2931 nucleotides) under Escherichia coli. RNAcentral's name for it is "bacterial LSU rRNA". It matches the Rfam family "Bacterial large subunit ribosomal RNA". RNAcentral also lists the same sequence under 1 other name. The record is from RNAcentral. Lineage: Bacteria; Pseudomonadati; Pseudomonadota; Gammaproteobacteria; Enterobacterales; Enterobacteriaceae.